CUCAACUAGGCAUGUCUCUUCCCCUCAUCCCCUCUCACGAGCACCUCGAUGUUGUCUCACGGAUCCAGCCCCUUCACAGCCGCCGGCCACCUGCAGCAACCCCAGGAUUGACGGCGUCUCCCAGACUGCCGCACAGUCCUGCCCCGGUGGCCUCGAGCUGCAGCUCUGGCACAUGGUACAGGACGCAUCGCUGCUAUUCCCAUGCGGAUCCACUGAGUUGACGAUGUUGAAUCAGUUGUGGCUUCCGGACCAUUCAUGGAGUUAUGAAGGGCGUCCCCUUCCAUUGUGGAGAUGGUUUCAGUUACGCUACAAGGGAUUUCAUUUCUUCCUGAAAAAUUCUGCCAGUCCUUCCUGAUUUGCACGUGUUAAUGUAACGGUUGAACAUCAGUUCUCUCUCAUCAUCCAUUGUGUAGGUUUAAGGACAUACAUAGGACAUGGCAGUUCUCUAAUGAGUAGCUAACUGAUCGCAUUUUUUUCUCGGUGCUCUUUUUUCCAGUUAGUAACAUACUGUCAGUGAUCAUUUGAUGUUGAUAUUUCAACCUCGCCCUUAAUUUAUCCCUUUGAUUCUCUCUUCCAGUGUAUGAUCUUCAGUGAGUCCUACUAGAAUGGAAGACGCUGCAAUAAUGUCUGAGUAAUGGAUGAUAGUUGCCUUUCUGAGAAACCACAGAAGCUCUCAGACCAGGCUGCAGGAGAAAAUGACUUGCCAUACUGACACCAUACAACACCAUGACGAUGGUCGAUGGACACCAUUAUGUUCAAAAACUCAACAGUGCUAUCUUGCAUUUGUACGAGCAUCUAUGCAUUAGGUUGGAAACUUCAAGUCUUAAGUUUGUUAAUGAGAGCAAUGCAAUAUUCUAAAGGGUCUGACGUGUAAGCGAAACAGGUGUAUGUCUAUCCGUCCGCUGAAAACCAUAUUUAGGUGUUGUAGAAGCUCUAAAUAAUUAGUUUUUUCUUGCUUUCAAGGUGCCAUUUUAUUUCAGGAUUUGCUGAAGUAAUCAAGUAAUGUGGAGCAGUUGCUCAUUCAAAUUUUAUAUUUUCUUAAUCAUUACCCUUCCUUGUUAGUGCUGUACUACCUCUGUAGAUAAAUGUAAGACUAACGUCCUACUUUUCUUUACAGAGGGAGUACUUUUUUUGGAGUAUUAAUUUCUGUCAUUCUGAUGUAUUGUCAUUCUUGCCUCUUUCUUUGGUUACAAUUUUUUCUGAUAAUCGCUGUUUGAAUUAGAUUUUUUAAGUUAUAUCGUGGACCUUUUCUUAUGUCCAAUUAGUUCUGAUUUGGCAAAAACCAAAUUGCCAAGUGUUGACAAUUGGCACACUGCAAUGUUGCUUACAGUGAUUGUUGAACGUUAACUCGAGGUAUCCUGCGUGGUUUGGACUUUGUGAUGCUAAUUAUCCGUCGUACCAGUUGAUAUGCCUUUAAAGUUGAAGCCAUAAAAAAUGUAGUGCACAUUGAUUUUCUUUGUGAUACUUCACAUCCCUUUGUUUUGGUGGUAGUACAUUGUAGCCUGUAGAAGUACGAGCUUUAUUUUUGCAUGAUUCAUGUUUUUAUAGUUCCAUACAUGGUUAUCUAAUAAGCUAGCCAAAGUUAGGUGAUGGUGUUAUCCAAUUUAUACAUCUUCACAAAUGCUGCUUAGCUAAAAUUUCCUUAUUGUUCAAGAAUAACAGGUGUUCAAGCAAUAUGACAACGAAUCUGAUUUGUACUAGUGGGUGAUCGAGAGCCUGGUUAUUGAUACAAUGCAACUUUACUGUGAACAAAAAUGUUCCUUGAAAGUUGGUUGACACUUCUGGAUAUUGAUACAAUGCAACUCUGCUGUAUGGGAAUUGCAUAUUAAUUAGGUCUUUUUACUAUACUGCAUAUAUACACUUAGUGACACUUCCUUGAAACUGAAGGAAAUAUUCUUUAUAUUGUAGCAAUACUUGGACACUUCCUUGAAACUGCAUAUAUACACUUAGUGACACUUCCUUGAAACUGAAGGAAUUAUUAUGUUGAUUUUUGUAUGUAACAAUACUUGGACUGUAUGGCCUUUCUUUUUACUAUACUGCAUAUAUACACUUAGUGACACUUCCUUGAAACUGAAGGAAUUAUUAUGUUGAUUUUUGUAUGUAACAAUACUUGGACUGUAUGGC
This is a long non-coding RNA of Triticum aestivum (bread wheat), 2124 nucleotides long. RefSeq lists it as uncharacterized. NCBI's taxonomy places the organism in Eukaryota, Viridiplantae, Streptophyta, Magnoliopsida, Poales, Poaceae. The transcript has 3 exons. The record is from RefSeq and is a predicted model, not a curated record.